CCUACGGGAGGCAGCAGUGAGGAAUAUUGGUCAAUGGCCGGAAGGCUGAACCAGCCAUGCCGCGUGAAGGUCAGUGCCCUAUGGGCGUUAAACUUCUUUUGUUCGGGAACAAUAAUGGUCACGUGUGGCCAGACGAGAGUACCGUACGAAUAAGCAUCGGCUAACUCCGUGCCAGCAGCCGCGGUAAUACGGGGGAUGCAAGCGUUAUCCGGAUUUAUUGGGGUUAAAGGGUGCGUAGGCUGUGAGGUCAGUCAGCGGUGAAAUGCCGCCGCUCAACGGGGUGAAGUGCCAUUGAUACUGCCUUGCUGGAAUGAGGAUGAGGUAGGAGGAAUGCGUGGUGUAGCGGUGAAAUGCAUAGAUAUCACACAGAACACCGAUUGCGAAGGCA
This 388-nucleotide ribosomal RNA is filed under the name uncultured bacterium. RNAcentral's name for it is "partial 16S ribosomal RNA". It matches the Rfam family "Bacterial small subunit ribosomal RNA", at positions 338 to 723 of the family's 1533-position model. The record is from RNAcentral.